RNAcentral lists this ribosomal RNA (253 nucleotides) under uncultured bacterium. Its description in RNAcentral is "partial 16S ribosomal RNA". It matches the Rfam family "Bacterial small subunit ribosomal RNA", at positions 524 to 776 of the family's 1533-position model. The record is from RNAcentral.
UACGUAGGGACCAAGCGUUGUCCGGAAUCAUUGGGCGUAAAGAGCGCGUAGGUGGCCACAUAAGUCCGUUGUGAAAGUCAAAGGCUCAACCUUUGAAAGCCGAUGGAUACUGUGUGGCUAGAGUACGGAAGAGGCGAGUGGAAUUCCUGGUGUAGCGGUGGAAUGCGCAGAUAUCAGGAGGAACACCAAUAGCGAAGGCAGCUCGCUGGGACGUUACUGACACUGAGGCGCGAAAGCGUGGGGAGCGAACAGG